Molecule: ribosomal RNA, 498 nt
Filed under: uncultured bacterium
Lineage: Bacteria
Description: partial 16S ribosomal RNA
Rfam family: Bacterial small subunit ribosomal RNA
Source: RNAcentral
AUUGAACGCUGGCGGCAUGCCUUACACAUGCAAGUCGAACGGUAACGCGGGGCAACCUGGCGACGAGUGGCGAACGGGUGAGUAAUGUAUCGGAACGUGCCCAGUUGUGGGGGAUAACUGCUCGAAAGAGCAGCUAAUACCGCAUACGACCUGAGGGUGAAAGCGGGGGAUCGCAAGACCUCGCGCAAUUGGAGCGGCCGAUAUCAGAUUAGGUAGUUGGUGGGGUAAAGGCUCACCAAGCCAACGAUCUGUAGCUGGUCUGAGAGGACGACCAGCCACACUGGGACUGAGACACGGCCCAGACUCCUACGGGAGGCAGCAGUGGGGAAUUUUGGACAAUGGGCGCAAGCCUGAUCCAGCCAUGCCGCGUGCGGGAAGAAGGCCUUCGGGUUGUAAACCGCUUUUGUCAGGGAAGAAAAGACUCCUGUUAAUACCGGGGGUUCAUGACGGUACCUGAGGAAUAAGCACCGGCUAACUACGUGCCAGCAGCCGCGGUAA